RNAcentral lists this ribosomal RNA (460 nucleotides) under uncultured bacterium. RNAcentral describes it as "partial 16S ribosomal RNA". It matches the Rfam family "Bacterial small subunit ribosomal RNA", at positions 338 to 795 of the family's 1533-position model. The record is from RNAcentral.
CCUACGGGAGGCAGCAGUGAGGAAUAUUGGUCAAUGGACGAGAGUCUGAACCAGCCAAGUAGCGUGAAGGAUGACUGCCCUCUGGGUUGUAAACUUCUUUUAUAAAGGAAUAAAACGAGGCACGUGUGCCUUUUUGCAUGUACUUUAUGAAUAAGGAUCGGCUAACUCCGUGCCAGCAGCCGCGGUAAUACGGAGGAUCCGAGCGUUGUCCGGAUUUAUUGGGUUUAAAGGGAGCGUAGAUGGGUUGGUAAGUCAGGUGUGAAAGUUUGCGGCUCAACCGUAAGAUUGCAAUUGAUACUGGCAGUCUUGAGUAAAGUUGAGGGAGGCGGAAUUCGUGGUGUAGCGGUGAAAUGCUUAGAUAUCACGAAGAACCCCGAUGGCGAAGGCAGCUUACUAAACUGUGACUGACAUUGAGGCACGAAAGUGUGGGUAUCAAACAGGAUUAGAUACCCCAGUAGUC